Molecule: long non-coding RNA, 618 nt
Organism: Lathyrus oleraceus (garden pea)
Lineage: Eukaryota; Viridiplantae; Streptophyta; Magnoliopsida; Fabales; Fabaceae
Exons: 5
Source: RefSeq, a predicted model, not a curated record
UUCACACACUCUCCGUUAAAUCACUCUUAGUUAGGAUUUUUUAAUUAGGGUUUCUGAAUCUAAGGUUUUUAAUUUAGGGUUUAUGAUGAUUGUUGUUGUUACAGGUGAUUAAAGGCUUUGGACCAGUUCUCUCACUCUACAGGUGAUUAGAGUUUGUGUUUUUUUUGCUUAUAUUGUUGUUGUUUCGAUGAAUCUCUUUGUUCUCUCUAACUCUCUAACUUAAAAACUUGAUUUGUGCAUAAUAUUUGAUUACUUUGGGUUGAUCUUUGGAAACUGGAAUGUGACUUUUGCUACCCCUGCAUGAACCGUGAUUUUUGGAACUUAGUUGCAGGUGAUAUUUCAGUUCUCAUAUCAGUGGCUAGUCUUGCCUUGGCAAAUUAAACAAAUAAGAUGGAUCAACGUCAAAGUAGCACGGAAAGAGUCUUAGAGCAAGAGCAAUGCAAUUGAAGCUCUACUAAAUGCCUUGAAUGAUGAGACUCAGAGAUUACAAGAACAAGUAUAUUUUGGACAAAUAAAAUCUCACACUGAUCAAUGGAUGAUUUGAAGCCCGUGACACAUCUUUUUGCCGUUGACAUCACUUUAGCGAGUGGGAUUAAGUUACUUCGCCAAGGCUUCAAU